AUGUCCGUGUGUGAUGCCUGUCAGCAAGGCAAGAGUCAUCAGCUACCUUUUGUUUCAUCUACUAGAGAAGUAAAGAACCCUCUUGAAAUUGUGUUUUCUGAUGUGUGGGGUCAGCACAAACAUCUGUUAGUGGUCACAACUAUUAUGUCAGUUUUGUUGAUGCCUAUAGUCGCUUCACUUGGCUUUAUCUUCUUAAGCGCAAAUCUGAUGUGUUUGAUAUAUUCAUACAGUUUCAAUUGCAUGUUGAACGUCUACUCAAGCAUAAAAUUAUCCAUGUUCAAUCAGAUUGGGGGGCGAAUAUCGCAACCUCAACACCUUCUUUAA
RNAcentral lists this ribosomal RNA (324 nucleotides) under Triticum aestivum (bread wheat). RNAcentral describes it as "partial small subunit ribosomal RNA". Lineage: Eukaryota; Viridiplantae; Streptophyta; Magnoliopsida; Poales; Poaceae. The record is from RNAcentral.